This 514-nucleotide ribosomal RNA is filed under the name uncultured bacterium. Its description in RNAcentral is "bacterial SSU rRNA". It matches the Rfam family "Bacterial small subunit ribosomal RNA", at positions 1 to 523 of the family's 1533-position model. The record is from RNAcentral.
UAGAGUUUGAUCCUGGCUCAGAUUGAACGCUGGCGGCAUGCCUUACACAUGCAAGUCGAACGGUAACAGGUUAAGCUGACGAGUGGCGAACGGGUGAGUAAUAUAUCGGAGCGUGCCCAGUCGUGGGGGAUAACUGCUCGAAAGAGCAGCUAAUACCGCAUACGACCUGAGGGUGAAAGCGGGGGAUCGCAAGACCUCGCGCGAUUGGAGCGGCCGAUAUCAGAUUAGGUAGUUGGUGGGGUAAAGGCCCACCAAGCCAACGAUCUGUAGCUGGUCUGAGAGGACGACCAGCCACACCGGGACUGAGACACGGCCCAGACUCCUACGGGAGGCAGCAGUGGGGAAUUUUGGACAAUGGGGGCAACCCUGAUCCAGCAAUGCCGCGUGUGUGAAGAAGGCCUUCGAGUUGUAAAGCACUUUUGUCCGGAAAGAAAUCGCACUUACUAAUAUUAGGUGUGGAUGACGGUACCGGAAGAAUAAGGACCGGCUAACUACGUGCCAGCAGCCCCGGUCA